This is a non-coding RNA of Jatropha curcas, 182 nucleotides long. The record is from Rfam. Lineage: Eukaryota; Viridiplantae; Streptophyta; Magnoliopsida; Malpighiales; Euphorbiaceae.
UUGUUUGCAGAUGCAGCAUCACCAAGAUUCACAUGCAAAUACAGGGAAUCUGCAACUAUAGCUAUAGCCAGCCAAUACAUAUUGACUAAUUAUAUAUAUACAUUCUUCUACCCAAGUUCUUCUUUUUCGUUGUUUCUUCUUUUUGAAGGUGAGAAUCUUGAUGAUGCUGCAUCAGCAAUAAA